This is a long non-coding RNA of Mus musculus (house mouse), 10068 nucleotides long. RefSeq annotates it as predicted gene, 32450. The record is from RefSeq and is a predicted model, not a curated record. The transcript has 5 exons. Lineage: Eukaryota; Metazoa; Chordata; Mammalia; Rodentia; Muridae.
AUAAAUAAAAAGAAUGUUUUUUAUGUACUUUAUGCUAAGAAGAUUUCCAAGUUGUAUAAACUUGCAGAUUCUAGUGAGUGAUGACUGUCUGGGGUGACAGCACAGCAGCUGGCAAGUUGAAGAACACAAAGAUCUUGCAGACAUGUGGAACCAUCCUGAGUUCUGUCAGCCAAUUCUGGUUUUAGCACAGUGACUCCUAGUCCAGGUCAAGAAAGUUACCAGUGCGGAAGCAGAAGAAGAUAAGGAUGGCUAGAAGGUUUUAUGUAGAGAGAUGUGCUGUGCCUUCCCUUUCGUUGCAUAGAUCUCUGCUUUUGGAACAACUGGUCUGGAAGAAAGAUGAAGUGGAGGAGAGAUGUUGGACAGAGGAGAAUUCCAAAUUCCAUGUACUUACAGAUCGUGGAAAGGACCCACACUUGUAUGUGCCACAAAAGAUAGACAAAAGGAUGCUUCCUUCUCUACUUUAUACUGAACAUGAAAUGGUGUGAUCAGGCCAAGUUAAGGCAGUUUUGCUUACCAUCUGAAACUCGAAAAGAAAGUAGUGUAAAAGGAACUUAAGAAAACCCAAUGGAGGAGCUAGAGAAAGUAUCCAUGGAAUUAAAGAGAUCUGCAACCCUAAAAGAGCCUGUAGUGCAUCGCUUUGGGAAAAGUGACAGAAGAAGGUCUUGAGGACUCCCUUGAAGAAAACAAACUCAGAGAAAGCUCAUCUUAGUUGAGAACAGAAAUGUGCUCAGGGCUAAGAAAUCAAUGAGUAUCCAUCACUCUUUCCAAGGCAAUAACUCUGAUUACUUUAAAUGGAAAAAUGAACUGUACUUCAAACUACUACGUUUAAACUCUCCCCCAUUAUUAGGUUAAAGAAAAAUUAGAACACAGUUUCACUCUAUACCUCAUGUUGACCUCAAAACUUUGACACUUCUGCCUCACUCUUCCUUACUGAGAUCAUAGGCAUACCACCACACCUGGUUAAGAAACUCCACACAGUAUUUAAGAUCAUCAGAAGAUGUCUUUACCAUAUUGGAACAGGGAGCACAGCCGAGGGGUCUCCAUGCACUGUUCGCUCUGGCAGAAGAUAAAAUUCCAGAAAUCAAGUAACAUGUAAGAUACUAAGUUACCAUGGUGCCUGAUGUUGCACCAAUGAUUCUCUGUGUACUUGAAGGUCCUGGGCAAUCCCUUACCUUUGUAGGGUUGCUUUUCAUCAUCUGCACUCAAGACUAUUGGAUAAAGGACUUGUAAAACUCAAAAGCAGGCACAUAGUAAUGUAAAUCCAGGUAGUCAAUGUCCUAGUGAUCAUCCAAGAUGAGAACAAAGCCAGCAAGAGAAAAUAGGGUCAUUUGAAGGAUUGACUUUUAACUAGGAGGUGAAGAAUCUCACUUAAAAUCUGUGCAUCCUAUUCACGUGCAAAUGUUAGAGUACCAAGGUGCGCAGAGAGGAAGAUGCUUCAAGAGAGCAGCUAAAGGGUGUGUGUGUGUGUGUGUGUGUGUGUGUGUGUGUGUGUGUGUGGUGUUUUUGUGAUAUCUGAACCAUCCAAAGAGCCUGAGAGGCAUCAACAUGCUGUUCUAUGCAUGACUGUGUUUCCUCUAGUUAUUCAACAGUUACAAAUUGGUCCAUAUUUUCUAAGACAGACAAGAGAAACAAGUGAAAGUGCCACACAGAAUGUUUUAUAGCAACACAUCUUCAGAUCUAAUUACUAUUUUUAGAAAACAGGAAAAGAGAACUUGCCAGCAGUAAUUGUUGAAGAUAACGCAUAUUUUCUCGGGAGGAGAGUGUUAUUCUGUCACCCCCCCUCCCCCAUUUCACUAUAAAGAUAAUGGAAAACGCAAGUUUUCUUGAAAUAGAAGUGGGGGAGUGGAGACUUGGGAACCACAUGAUCACACACAAGCAAAUUCUGAUUUUCUAUGAUAGUUGAGUCCCUAUCAAAGCAAGAAGAGAAUCAAGAAUGAAUGAGGGCUUAAACAUAAGCUGAAUGGAAGGCUCAUCGUGUCAAAGGAAGUGCAUGGCUGAAACCGUAAACUAAGAACCCCUGACUUGGGAGCUCAUAGGUUCCAGGAAGUAACCUAUUACUGUUAUUUUGCUUUUCUAAAAUAGUAUUCACCUGCCCUCUGAAUCCAAAUCCCCAUACCACAGAUUAGUGAGGCUCCCAGUCCUCAUCAGAGAAGCUUCAUUGUGGAAUGAAUGGCAGUUAAUGUAGUGACUCACAUACAUAAGUGCAGAAAAUACAAGUCUGUGAAGAGCUCAGUCAUAAAUGGGACUUUUGUAUCAUGCCCUGUGGGUACAUUGUAUGAAGGUAUGUCUAUAUAUUUAAUGGUUAAUUCUGAACCGGCAGAGAACUAAAUUCUGGUAGGAGUCUAGUAUUGCCAUUUCUGUGGUUCAUCACUGGUCUCAUGUUUUGUAAAUAUUUGAUUAUUCGUUGUUAUCUGCCUAGGUCAAUCUAGAAUUGGCUUAAUCUGGUUGGCUAUAAUAAAGAUCUGAUGGUCAAUAGCUGGGCAGCAAGUGGAGGGAGAAUCUUCUAGAAGAGAGAGGAAUUCUGGGAGAAGAAAUUAGAGGCUCAUAAGCCUCUACCCCUAGCUGAGAAACUAAUAAUAGCUGAUGGCUUCUUGAGGGAGUGAGAGUCAGUUUCUUUAAUGGUCCAUGGUAGGUCAACCAUGUGAAUGGCCUUGCAACCGUACCUAUAUGGUAAGCACUAAUUAGAACUUGUAAAUUACCAAAGAAUUUGAAGAUGAAUUUGGAAGGAAGCUUGGGAGAUGGACUCUGGUAGAGUUAGUAGAGAUAGUGGGGGUUUGAAUAUGAUCAAAAUUAGUACAAAUACACACAAAUACACAAAUUAAAAUAUGGAGUUUGUUAUAAAUCCUUAAAAUAUGAGUUAACAAGAGUAAGAAAAAUGUAAACUGAAAAUGCGAGAUUUUCAAGAAUGCAGUCAUUUGUCUCUACAGCAGAACUGACUCCUGGACUGGGCACCAUGAAGGAUGCUUUGGCCUUAGUAUGAAUGUGUUUGUGAAUGUGUGUGUGUGCGUGUGCAUGUUUGUGUGUGUGUGUGUGUGUGUGUCAGGGAGUUAUAGUGAAUUCAAAAGGAAAAGGUAGAGGAGUUGGGAAGAACAGAUGACUUCAUGAAGGUUUGUUGGCCAUUCGUCAUUAACCAACUGAAUUUCAAAGUAGACUCUAUGCCAAGGAAGAGCUUUGUUGAUGAACUUGGUGUAAUUGUUUUCUAGACUGUACAAGAUGAACUUCCCUUCUCUGAAAUGCUUCUGACCACAAAUGUUUGCACUUUCACAAGUCACAAUAUAUGCACACAUGGAACCUAAACUUAAAUAUGAAACCUGUGUGUUCCAUGUCUACCUUUUUCAUACUCGCUGAGGCUAAUCUUACGUGAUAUUUUUUGCUAUGCUUGUAUUUGAACUCUGACCACAGUCAUAAAUGGUAUCUGAUGUGGAGUUUCCUACAUGUGACAUCAUGUUAAUGCUAAGACAAGUUAUUAUUUUGAAGCAUUUUAGAUUCUGAUGUCUUGAUUAGGGAUUUUAAACCCAUAAAGAGUGAAGGGUCAUUCAAAAAAAGUCUUCCAUGUAAAUUUAUGUUUCAGAGGAGGUUGACUUUUUCAUUGGUUGAUUUUACCAUCUUUCAAAAUCUUCAGUUUUAAAAUAACACAUAUAAUUAUGCUUGUUUCUUGAGUGUGGUAUGAUAUUUCAAUACUUGAAUGAGUGUAAUAUUAUCCAGUCACAUCUAUUUCCCCUUCUUGGCCAUUGCCUUGUGUAUUUCUCAUUUGUAGCAUAUUACAUCAUAGAGUACAAUGUAGUGCAGUCUAUGACAGUCCCUUCUUCCACCACUUUGUGCUCUGUGUGUAUUAGAAGAUUUAACAAGAGUCAUUUGCUUAGAUUGGUACAGAACAGGAUCCCACAGAGAGAAUGUGUUCCUCCUAUAGCCCAGUUUUCCUUGACUUCCUACCGUUAGCUCCCUGAGAAUCCAUGGAAGUCCUGCUAACUAGUCUGGCUGCUUCCCUGCUGUGUGCUGAACCUUGUGCCUUGGGAAAAAAUUGCUUCCCAGGAUGAGGGCGGAAAAGAUGAAAUCAUUGCUUUGCCUGUGUGUUUGAGUUUUUAGAGAAGACUUUCACAGUAAAGAAGAGUGUAUUUUUAGAAUUAUCAUGUUCUGUUUUGACAUUGCAAAUGUUCAUUUUAAACUGUAUUUAGUGAAGGUUUGAUGACCCACAUAGGGAAACCAGUUUUAAAUGAUCACCUUUCAUCCUUGGCUCAUCACAAUACCUCCAACAUUGACAAUGGUAAUUGUAGCUACACCUGGCAAGGGCAGUUGACUGGAGAAAUUUCAUGUCUCUAGCAUAGCCUGAGCAUGGCAUGCUGAUGAAGCACAGGUCCUCUCACAAGGACCUGGAUCUUGCAACAUGUCCUCUGUGGGCAGGGAGUGGGAUGGAGUGGUGUGACUGCUCUAAUGUCUGUAUGGUGUACAGACAGAAAUCAUGUUCGUAUUUCCUGAAACGACACUAAGGAAAGGGGAUCUUGUUGUAUCCUUUGCAGGUGUGUAGGACAAUGGGGGGGCUAGAGUCUGAUGAAAUCGUAAGAGUUUUUGGUAAUGUUGUUACUUUCCUCCUUUAUGCUUUCACUUCUGGUGUCCCAAAGUCAAGAUUAGGGGCAGUCAAGUAGAGCCAAUUAGAGUACUGGUACUGGAGUCCAGGUUGAUGAAGACAUGGCUUCGUCUGCUAGUGGGAGACUGGGAAAUUACUAUGUGUCACUAAAAAUGCUCUCAGAUAGAAAUUAUAAAUUCAUCCACAUUCAUGUGCCUAGUCAGCAAAGGCUUAUUGAUUGAUUGAAGGAUAACCAUAGAGCCUAGCAGGACUCUAGUAGGGGAAAGUGGUACUUUCACAGUUUUACAUGCCUAUGAAUCCUCUGGGACUUUUGCUGAAAUGCAGAUUUCCAUUCUGGGUCUAGAGUUGGGAGGGGCUUGAGACUAUAUGUCUAACAAGCUAUCCUGUGAUGCUGGACCACACUGUGGGUACUGAUGGAUACCAAUGGGCAAGGAUGGAGUGAAGCAGAGUUUCUCAAAGAAAUGAAUGUGUGCUUACAGAGUCUGCAUGCCAAUUGCUGCCCAACUAACCAGGCAAAAGCAAUCUACCUGCUUCAUGGUUAAUUUUCAGAUAUGUAGAUUUCUCUGACAAGACAUUUUCCUCCUAUAACCCUGCUCUUAGUUGUCUACUUUAAAACCCACUUUUGUAAAUAAUGGAAUUUGCAUUUAAGAAAGCAGACUGAAGAGACUGAAAAUAUGUCUUCUACCUUUUCUCACAAAUCUUGCCGGAAUAAAUGAGGGAGAUGUAAAGAAAAAGAUGGAUAUCACCUUUGGGGAAAAAAAAAAAAACCAAACAAACAAAGUCUCAAGUGAUAAUGUCUGGAGAGGGCUGACAUUGCAAUAAAGGUCAAAUAUGGGUACAGAAAGACCCAGAGAAGAUGCAUUUGUGUGUAAACAUCUCAGACAUAGGUGGCUGAGAACUAUAUCCUUAAGCAUCAAAUGCUGAGAGCAAACCAACCACUUCUUUGGAAACUGAGGAAAAGCAUUGGCUUACUGCAAUGUUCCUGGGCUCCAUUUGACCUCACAAGAAACGAAAUUGCAAACAUGAAGGAAUGCAUCCUGCGGAGAUGGUAUGAAGGAUGGUGUAUCCAUCCAUAGCAGCCCGUCUCUGUUGGCUAGAGAGUAAAACCACAUGGUGAAUGCUAAUUCUGUCCUGUGGUUUUCUCCUAGAGCCAGAGAGAAGUGAUGGCCUGGAAGAUGAGCCAUCUCUGAGGGCCAGGAAGAACACAUUAAACCUAAGUAUGAUUAAUGAAGAGGAAGCAGGCUCAGAUUCUAUAUGAGAUACCUUGACACCAAAGAACAAGAGGUAUGGAGGAAAGGACUUCUCUUGAAUGAAACUCUCACCACUUUUUAAAAAACUACCACCAAGAAGUUAAAAUUAUGUCAAAAUUAAUGUUCAUGUAAUAUUAGAAAUGAACAGUGAAGAAGGUCAAAUUAUAAACUCUGCGAAGACAACAGGAAUACACAGAGGGAGACAAAAACAGAAAGUCAUUAAAAUGGCAGAACUGGGGAGGCUAAGUCUUGUCUCUAGAGAAUCAUGUAAGGAAGACAUUUGCUACACUUAGUUCUUGUAGUAUUCCUUUUUUUGUGGUGGUGGUAAAAACAUGUAACCUAAAUUUUUCAUCAUAAUAUUUGAAGUAUAUAAUUUGGUGACAUUAAUUGUAUGUGCAGUAUUGGGCAGUUGUUACCAUGCAGAAGAGAUACAAAAGCUCUCUAUCUCUCUAUCCUCGGACCUGGGAACCUCUGAUAUACUCUUUAUCUCAAUGAAUUUGCCAAAGCAGGUGUUUCACAUAAGUGCACUAAUAUUUGUCCUUGGCUUAUUUUAUUUAGUGUUGUUUUCAAAACUGUUCCAUGUCAUAGAUUAUAUCAGUUCUUUAGUUAUUCUAACAUCCGAGUGAUAUUCCAUUGUAUGUUUUUUUGUAUAUGCAACACUGUGUGUGUGUUUGUGUGUUUGAGUGUUUGAGUGUGUUUGAGUGUGUUUGAGUGUGUUUGUGUGUGUUUGUGUGUUUGAGUGUGUCUGUGUCUCAGCACAUAUGUGUUGUGCUGAGGAAUGAACCUAUGGCCUUUUUCAAAAGCUCUGUUAUGGAGCAUACACUCAGUCCUGCCUGAGUCACAUGUUACUCAGAUAUUCUGUUUUUGUAGACACCUGGAUUGCACCCACUUGUUGGUACUGUGAAUAAUCGUGAGACACAUUAGAUUUUAAAAUGAGCAAAGCAGAAGUAGAUGAUGCAAAAUAAUGAAGAAAUAGACACAGAUGGAGGAAUUUAAAAGUGAUUAUGGGAGAGUGAUUUGUUCAAUAAUACAUAGAUAAAUGCAGAAAUAUGGAUAAGAUACAUAGUUCUUAGGGCAGGAUUCUAGGGCUGGUCACAGGAGAUCUUGAAAAUAAAAUAUUAAUUGAAAGAAAUAGAAGGAGAGAGAGAGUGAGAGACAGAAAGAGAAAGGAAGAGAGGAGGGAGAGGGGGAGAAGAGGGAGGAAGGAAGGGAGGGAGGGAGGGAGGAAGAGAGGAGAGAGAGAGAGAGAGAGAGAGAGAGAGAGAGAGAGAGAGAGAGAGAGUUUUAGUUUCCCCAUGAUUACCAGGCAUAGAUAUUUGUGCAGGGAGCUCUUUGAAACUUUAAUGAAUCAAACAUGUUAAACACUGCAGUGAUUUAAAAAAAACUUGUAAGAAAUGAAAAUCUUCUGACUUCUUUAUGUGAAAUUGAAAUUAUAUUGUUGAUAGAGUCUACUGAAGAGCAAAUAAUGCCAAUAAGAAGGAAAGAAAGAAAAACCACAGAUCAAUGUUUCCUGAUUUUAUCAAUGCAACGAUCUCCCACAAAAUGUCAUCUGGCUUUUAGAUUUCAGAGCAUCAGCAAAAGAACAAUUUCUUGUAUCAUUUGCGAAUUUUGUGCCAUUCAUGGUAUUGUCUCCUCAGCAGGACCAAGUCACGGGAGAUUAAUUUCAAAGGAAAGAAUGCUUACUAUUAGGAAAUGUAUUGAAAUAAUUUACAGUACUAGCAUCUAAAGAGUAAAGCCACACAGACAAACCAUGGUUGCAGAAAAAUGGUUAUUAUUGGAAACAUAAAGUCCGUUAUUGAUUAAGAAAAAAAGAAAAAAAGAACAGACCACAAACCAGAACCGAAUCUAUAAUUUCAUAAUUAAAAAAAAUAUUUUGUCUUAAGCCAAAAGAAGCUCCCGCUGAUGGGACAAAUAACGGAAGCGUUCACAGCUAAUGAGGAAAAACACAGCGCGUACAUUGUUUAACACUGAUUUAAGAUUCUGGCCAAUUUUCUUGUGGAUAAGAGAACAAAUAGUGGUAAAAAAUAGACAUGUAUGGAAAUAAUAUCACUGUGCUUAGAAGAUUGCAGAGAAUUAGCUCACUGCUAGAGCUAUAGCAAGAGAACAGAGCAGGGUGCCUAGAUGCAAAAAAUAAAAAAUUAAUACAUGGAGACCCCCCCCCCCCCAGUCCAUGGUAUGACACAAUAAAGAUUCACGUGGCCAGGAAGCUGAUGCUGAUACUCACAUGGGAGAAUGAAAAUCGCCAGGAAGAAGUUUUAUUCAUAGCAUCAGUGAGAAAUGUUAGAGGGUUAAACUGUUACCUGAUGCUGGUGCAGUGAGCUAUUUCAAAUCAAAGAAGACACCAUUCACUGUCUUUGGAAUCUGCAUCAGAUGGGUUGUCACAUACAAAUUUUACAUGAACAACCGGCACAUCUACUGUUAUGCAUGGGGCAGGCAGGCAGCUUGAGAAGUUCUCAGGGGACCAAUCUCAGCGAGCCUGGAAGAUGAGCAGGCAGUGCUUUCGUCAUUGUAGUCUCUUGUCUAACUGGCAGACUUUGUAACACUCAUGGUGUUGUCUCUUUAAAAAAGCAGUUUGCCAUUUUUAAUUUUAUGAAUCCAGCUUAAGAUAUAGAGACAAGGUUUAAAAAAAAAAACAACAAACAGAACCAAAACCCAAAGAUACCAGCGGUGAGUGUAGAAUGGUUUACUUGAAUUGCAGCAGGGACCCCCCCCCCCCCAACCCCCGAGCUUAGCUGUGUGCUUAGAAGCUCCCAGGGAUGAAAUACCUUAGGAAGACAAGGAACUCUUAUAGAAGGCAAAGAACUCUCAGGCAUCAGCUUUUUACCUAUUCCCAAGGUUUGACCCUGUGUGAGGCACUUUCUCCCUGCAGUGGAGGGGGCAGGAGCGGUUGGAGCUGGAAGCUUUAACCAUUUCAGUUCCACUAGGCUGGAGCUGAUGCUUUCCUGAUGAAAUCUAAGAGGUUGCCAACCAACAUGCUGUUUGAGCGAAUGCUUGAAGAUACAGCUGCAUGGAAAUUCCCUUAGAAAAGGUAUAGAAAAAAAAUAUAGCCAACAUCAGAAACUAUCAGGGGCCUGCAGAUCACUACAUAUGAGUUGCUAGAAUGGCUACCACAUAAAACCAGGUAAGUGGUAGCAAAUGUGGGCAAGGAUACAGAGAAGAGUGAAUCCUUGUAUGCUAUUGAUGGGUAGGCUGAUUGUUCAUAAAGAAAUGACCAUUCAAACUACAUGAGCCAGCAGCCUCUCUAUCAAGUCAUACAUGCAAUCAGUCGCUGCCCAUGAGACUGAUGCCUUCAUGGCCACCACAGCAUCACUCAUCAUAGGCAAUAAUCAAAGAAACUCAAAUUCUGAAUAUAUAAAAACAGUAGGAAAAUGGGGAAAAUGGAAAGACAAGGGACCGAAGAGUACAACUUUGAGUCUUGUGGAGGAAGAAAAUGUAGCCAGUGUGCAGCAUAAAGACUAGAGUUAAUAGCCUUACUUUAUAUCAGAAAUUUGCCAAGAGAGAUUUUAUGUAUUUUUACCAACACACACACACAUACACACACACACACACACACACACACACACACACACACACACAGGCACACUGUUGUGAGAUGGAGGGGUAUAUCAAUUUACUUGGUUGUAGCAAUCAUUUUACUAUGUAUAUAUGAGUCAAAAAACCAUUUUGUAUACAUACAAUAAAAAGAAAAUAAAUGGCAAAUCCCUAUUCCUUUUUGGAGAUAGAUUCUCUCUCCAUCCCCCUUAUAUGUAGAAACCCUGGAGUUGCCUGGCCUACUCCCAGUCUGUUUCCCAGGUUUUCAGGAUACUUUCUUCAGUGAGAACAGCUUGGUUUAUUGGUUAGCAUGGGCAAUAUCACAAGUGUUUAACUUCUGUUUCAGAAGGCAAACACGGAUGUGUUUACAUUGCCCUUUACGAGUUUUCCCACUGGCAAAGCCUUUGGCACGGAACAGGAGAAAUGCUAAACAGAAUAAAUUCCAGCCCGAAGUUCCUUUUCCGCAGAUGCCUUUCGGGAAAAAUUCUAUGAAGUCUGAUGACCUUGGAAACCACAGUCGUCAUCGAGCAAAGUCCUCCAGGAGCAUAGGUCGGUAGUGGGUCCCAAAGUCCCUAUUUAUGCUUGGAAGAGGAGUGCAGUAGGUAAGAUUCUACCUUACAAAAUGCGCUGUCACAAUCCCUGAAUCAUUUACAUUUCAUAUGUUACCCCCUUUUGCGGUUUCCCCUCCACAAACCCCCAUCC